AUGUUCAUGAUUAAAUCCAAUGCUUAUACUAUACCUCCUACUUCCAUUCUACAUUUUUGUAGCAAUGUAGAUGUCGACCGUAGUUGGAUGUACAAAGAGAGACGAGGGAAGUUGAUCAGUGAUGCUUGGCAACAUGGAGUAGAUAAUUUCCUAGAUCAUGCAUUCUCAUUGCCCGAUGCUGCUGUAGAUGGGAAAUCCCAUUGUCCUUGCAGCAAGUGCUUUUGCGGUCAUAAGUGGACAAGGGAUGUCAUGACCACACACUUGUGCAGCAAUGGGUUCAUGUUAGGAUAUGAGAGAUGGACUAGCCACGGGGAGUCUGAUGCACCUGAAAAUGUAGAGCAUGAUAACGCGGGGGAUGGAGAUAGAAUGAAUGACAUGCUAGUUGAUGCAAUUGUUGCUGAAGGAGUUUCUAAAGGUGAUGAGCCAACAAAAUCUGCCAAAAAAUUCUAUGAAAUGUUGAUGGAAGCCGACAAACGUUUGCAUGAGAAGACCACACAAUCACGUCUAUCCAUUGUAGGAAGGCUAAUGACUAUCAAAACACAACAUAAUCUGUCAGAAGCUUGUUACAAUGAGAUGAUGACUCUUAUACAUGACAUUGUUGGGGACGAUGCUGCAAAAGAUCUUCCAGCAAACUUCCAUAGGUCCAAGAAUAUUUCCAGGAAGGUGGUCAGCUGGGUAGUCAAAUUUGUUGAUGAAUCUACUGAGCCAAGAAAGGAGUCAGAUGAUGUGGAGCUUGAUCCCUCUGAAAUUUAUGUAAUAGAAAAUCAAGGCAAUAAUUAUGAGGGAGAAGAAUCUUCAGAAGAUGAAUUGGACGAGAGUACUGAUGAGGAAGAAGAAGAUUUACCUGAAGAGGAAGGACAAGAAGAGACAUAUGAGACCGAAGAUGAGGAUGAUGCAAUAGAGCAUGACUCUGAAUAUGACGAUGAUGAUUACUGA
RNAcentral lists this ribosomal RNA (936 nucleotides) under Triticum aestivum (bread wheat). RNAcentral describes it as "partial small subunit ribosomal RNA". The record is from RNAcentral. Lineage: Eukaryota; Viridiplantae; Streptophyta; Magnoliopsida; Poales; Poaceae.